GUUUCCUGUCACUGUGGGCUUCACAGCACAGUAGUAAACAGCAGAGUCUGUCACUGCAGCAGAGGAGAUCUGCAGUUUGACAUCAUCUCCUGACAGAUCUGGACUUUCUCUUCCUCCACACUGGGAGCAACAGUUUGUUCAAGCUGCAGCUGGGAUUUGUAUUUGAGGGAUCUUGUUCAACCUGAACUUCAACAAAGGAGGUCAAAGGUCUAGCUUCCAGCUCACCUUCUCAAGGAAAUCUCCUCGCCCUUCAAGCUCUACAAACUCCUUGUAGCGACGCGAUGUCCUGCAGGAAAACUUCAACAAGCAACGGAGCUUCACAGCUCAACAGAACCGCUAAGGCAGAAACCUCUCGACCAACCGGAGACUUCACCGAAUUGCUACUGAACAGCAACCUCUUUUCCUUGUAUCUCGGACUGGUAACAAUCUGGGCUUAAUAAUUAUACUGCGCUAAGCAAGACUGUUUAUUUGAUUCUGUGUGUGUUUAUAAGUUUAAUAUGUGUUUCUGAUAUUGUGUUCUAAGUUAUAUUAAAGCUAAUGUUAGAUAGGCCCUUCACAGACUUCCUUUGUAGGUCUCUCUGACUCUGGCAUUCUCUGAUUAAGAUCUACACAGACACGCAUAGCAUUUCACCUAAUUUAACAAUCCCCCUUGGCCGUAAAGCCACCUCAGAAGAAGGGGGGGGGGGGGGGGGACUCUUAUUUUAGGGGAUUAAACCACCAUUUUGACAGCAUUCUAGAAAGGUGUGAGGUCAGCAAUUUUGGGAGGCCCCCAAAUUUACAUUCACACAAACACUCAUAUACACCUCCUUGUUAGUUUGAUUGUUUAGUAAUUUGUGUUUUUAUACUUUAUUAUGUUCAUAAUAAAUGUUCUUCU
Long non-coding RNA from Pleuronectes platessa (European plaice), 874 nucleotides. RefSeq lists it as uncharacterized. The record is from RefSeq and is a predicted model, not a curated record. The transcript is spliced from 3 exons. NCBI's taxonomy places the organism in Eukaryota, Metazoa, Chordata, Actinopteri, Pleuronectiformes, Pleuronectidae.